RNAcentral lists this ribosomal RNA (497 nucleotides) under uncultured Desulfobulbus sp. RNAcentral describes it as "bacterial SSU rRNA". It matches the Rfam family "Bacterial small subunit ribosomal RNA", at positions 894 to 1382 of the family's 1533-position model. The record is from RNAcentral. Lineage: Bacteria; Pseudomonadati; Thermodesulfobacteriota; Desulfobulbia; Desulfobulbales; Desulfobulbaceae.
CAGAAACUACAAAGGAAGUUGACGGGGGCCCGCGACAAGCGGUGGAGCAUGUGGUUUAAUUCGAUGCAACGCGAAGAACCUUACCUGGUCUUGACAUCCCGGAGACCCUUAGGAAACUAGGGGGUGCUUCCAUCUGGAAGAAUCUGGAGACAGGUGCUGCAUGGCUGUCGUCAGCUCGUGUCGUGAGAUGUUGGGUUAAGUCCCGCAACGAGCGCAACCCUUGCCUUUAGUUGCCAGCAGUUCGGCUGGGCACUCUAAAGGGACUGCCGGUGUUAAACCGGAGGAAGGUGGGGAUGACGUCAAGUCCUCAUGGCCUUUAUGACCAGGGCUACACACGUACUACAAUGGCCGAUACAAAGGGCAGCGACACUGCGAGGUGAAGCCAAUCCCGUAAAAUCGGUCUCAGUCCGGAUUGGAGUCUGCAACUCGACUCCAUGAAGUUGGAAUCGCUAGUAAUCGUGGAUCAGCAUGCCACGGUGAAUACGUUCCCGGGCCUU